CAGCAUCUCACCUCUACAAACAUGGAACAACUCACUGUUAUUUUGUUCUUCUCAGCUCUCAUAGAAUCCAGCUAUGAAGAGCUCACUCCAGUUAAGAAUGAAGAGUUCAGUUUAGAAGGCAGCACUGUUACUCUGUCAUACAGUUACCCUGAACUGUUAACUGGUAAUUAUUUCUUCUGGUAUCGACAACAUCCAGGAAAACAACCACAGCUCCUUGUUCGUCACGGCGCUUCAGGAACGAUAGGAAAUGCAUUUAGAUCAGGAUUAAAGAUUUCAGUGGAGCAAAAAGAAAUCAACAUGAACAUCUCCUCUGUUGCACUGACUGACUCUGCUGUGUACUACUGUGCU
This is a non-coding RNA of Labrus bergylta (ballan wrasse), 348 nucleotides long. The record is from the annotation of a RefSeq genome assembly. Lineage: Eukaryota; Metazoa; Chordata; Actinopteri; Labriformes; Labridae.